ACUGCAUCGGGAUAGGACUAGACAUGCUAGUCGAGCGCUUCAAGCCAAAAGAGGCGCGGCAUACAGCUCAGUAACACGUGGCUAAUCUGCCCUUGGGACCGGAACACCCCCGGGAAACUGGGGCUAAUUCUCGAUAGGUGAAGAACUCUGGAAUGAGUCUUUGCCAAAAAGUUGACAGGGUUAUGCUCUCUGACAACGCCCAAGGAUGAGGCCGCGACCGAUCAGGUUGUUGGUGAGGUAAUGGCUCACCAAGCCUUUACCGGUGCGGGCCGUGAGAGCGGGAGCCCGGAGAUGGGCACUGAGACAAGGGCCCAGGCCCUACGGGGCGCAGCAGUCGCGAAAACUUUGCAAUAAGCGAAAGCUUGACAGGGCUAUCCCGAGUGCCAUCCGCUGAGGAAGGCUUUUACCCAGUCUAGAACGCUGGGGGAAUAAGGAGAGGGCAAGUCUGGUGUCAGCCGCCGCGGUAAUACCAGCUCUCCGAGUGGUGUGGAUGUUUAUUGGGCCUAAAGCAUCCGUAGCUGGCUAAGUUAGUCCCUUGUUAAAUCCACCGAAUUAAUCGUUGGAUUGCGGGGGAUACUGCUUGGCUAGGGGACGAGAGAGGCAGACGGUAUUUCCGGGGUAGGGGUGAAAUCCUAUAAUCCCGGGAAGACCACCAGUGGCGAAGGCUGUCUGCUAGAACGCGCCCGACGGUGAGGGAUGAAAGCUGGGGGAGCGAACCGGAUUAGAUACCCGGGUAGUCCCAGCUGUAAACGAUGCAGGCUAGGUGUUUGGACGGCCACGUGCCGUUCUAGUGCCGCAGGGAAGCUGUUAAGCCUGCCGCCUGGGGAGUACGAUCGCAAGAUUGAAACUUAAAGGAAUUGGCGGG
Molecule: ribosomal RNA, 865 nt
Filed under: uncultured archaeon
Lineage: Archaea
Description: bacterial SSU rRNA
Rfam family: Archaeal small subunit ribosomal RNA
Source: RNAcentral